RNAcentral lists this long non-coding RNA (1039 nucleotides) under Ornithorhynchus anatinus (platypus). RNAcentral's name for it is "lncRNA (ENSOANG00000032776.2)". The record is from RNAcentral. Lineage: Eukaryota; Metazoa; Chordata; Mammalia; Monotremata; Ornithorhynchidae.
AGCCAAGGCAGCGUCCACAGCUUUAUUUGCUGUUAAAUGAAACAGAGCUCAUUUAGCCUCCCAGCCUCGGAAUGCACGCGCAAUUACCGUGAGCCUGCUGCUCGGGCCGACUUGGCGACCACGUCCUGCAGGGCUCCCGCUCCCCAAAUUUAACCUUCGAUUCGGCUGUCGGCUUUCGGGCCUAGGAAGAGCAGAGGGGAGACACCUGAGAUGGCUCCGGCUUGAGCUCUGCAGGCUGCUUUUCGCUCCACGAGAAGAGGGAAGAGAAAGAUGAGGAAAGGGAAAAGAGGAAAAACAGAAGGAGAGGGACGAGGAGAAAAACGACAAAAAGAGAAGAAAAGAGGAGGAGGAAGAAGAUGAGAGAACGAAGAAGACGGAGAUAUCUCCGUUUGCACUCCCAUUGGAACAUCAAAACAAAGACGCGGACGGGGAACAAACAAGGUUCCCCCACCCGUCCAUCCGGGUGGGUCGCUACAGAACCAACUCUCCCUAGCUCCUUCCUUCUCCGCCGGCGGUCAGAACCGGGUCCAGGGAAGCGGAGGCCACCGCUGGGCCCAGAGGACACGACUUUCUCCGGCUAUCGAAGUGGGGGAGGGCGAGCCAGAGCUGGGCGACGCAGAGCUCGGCCUGUUCUGCUCCGGGUGGGAGCUCUGCGUUGCGGUCAGCCGCGGGUUUUCCUACAUGAACGCGGAACCCCGCGUUAACCGGAGAGAGCAGCGACGCGAGCCCCUUGGCGACUCCAGCCCUGCCCUGGCCUGGCAGCAUCCUAUCUCUGCCAAGCACCUCUGUAGCUCCGCAUUAAAGAUCGAUCGGAACUAUGGUUUCCUCGCUGAAUUCGGAGGACCGGAGAUGGGGAGUUGGAUUGGGGGAAAGGGGAAUUCUUUAAUAACAACAACAACGAUGAUGAUGAGGAUAGUACAACAGUAAUGUCAUUUGCUAAGCGCUAUGUGCAAAACUCUAUACUGAACAUGGGUAUUCUUGGUUCCCGGUUCCUAAUAUAGUUUCUCUUUCCUCUGCUCCGCUCAGUACACAUUUCAGC